AGUUUUAAUAGUUUAUAAAAAACGCUGGUCUUGUAAAUCAGUAAAGAGAAAUUUUCUCUUAAAACUUC
Molecule: transfer RNA, 68 nt
Filed under: Deleatidium vernale
Lineage: Eukaryota; Metazoa; Arthropoda; Insecta; Ephemeroptera; Leptophlebiidae
Description: tRNA-Thr
Source: RNAcentral